This 214-nucleotide ribosomal RNA is filed under the name Campeiostachys nutans. RNAcentral's name for it is "Elymus nutans partial small subunit ribosomal RNA". The stretch from base 40 to 214 matches the Rfam family "Eukaryotic small subunit ribosomal RNA", at positions 686 to 863 of the family's 1831-position model. The record is from RNAcentral. Lineage: Eukaryota; Viridiplantae; Streptophyta; Magnoliopsida; Poales; Poaceae.
GGGUUAGUAGGUUGGUCAUGCCUCUGGUAUGUACUGGUCUCACUGAUUCCUCCUUCCUGAUGAGCCGUAAUGCCAUUAAUUUGGUGUUUUGGGGAAUUUGGACUGUUACUUUGAAAAAAUUAGAGUGUUUAAAGCAAGCUAACGCUUGAAUACAUUAGCAUGGAAUAAUGAAAUAGGACGUUCGAUCCUAUUUUGUUGGUUUAGAGCCUAAGUA